GGAGGGGUGGCAGAGUGGACGAAUGCACCGGUCUUGAAAACCGGAGGGCCUGCAAGGGUCCCGCGGGUUCGAAUCCCGCCCCCUCCG
RNAcentral lists this transfer RNA (87 nucleotides) under Solirubrobacterales bacterium. RNAcentral describes it as "tRNA-Ser". It matches the Rfam family "tRNA". Rfam says of the family: Transfer RNA (tRNA) molecules are approximately 80 nucleotides in length. Their secondary structure includes four short double-helical elements and three loops (D, anti-codon, and T loops). Lineage: Bacteria; Bacillati; Actinomycetota; Thermoleophilia; Solirubrobacterales. RNAcentral also lists the same sequence under 1 other name. The record is from RNAcentral.